This is a long non-coding RNA of Alosa sapidissima (American shad), 1154 nucleotides long. RefSeq lists it as uncharacterized. Lineage: Eukaryota; Metazoa; Chordata; Actinopteri; Clupeiformes; Clupeidae. The record is from RefSeq and is a predicted model, not a curated record. The transcript is spliced from 2 exons.
AGAGGCAUAGUGUCUCCUGCCUUUCUCUGUGAGAGUGAGGCUUUGCUCGGGUGGGGGGACUCCGACAGCUUGGGGGAGCACAGCCGUGCAACAAAAAAAAAGACUGUCUACAAGUUUGCCUCGGGAUCGUCUUCAGUUUAACCUCACGUGCAGGCUCCCCUGAAGGCCCUCCUCUUAGUGUAUUUGACAGGCUGUGUUGGACACUCGAUAUAAAUGGGUGUCAGUUUGUCAAAUACCCCAAGAGAGGGGUCACUUUCCAUCUGGAAGAAAGAAGUCUUCCAGAAGACAGAGAGAGUGGAUAUUUUUCAUCACCACUUGACUGUGAGAGAACGCAUGUGAAACCUCCUAAUGUUCUACACAUUGCUGUCAAAAAUUAGAUGUCAUCAGCUUCUGAUGUCUUACACAAUGCAUGGGCCAUUUGGUAUAAGUUUUAGUUUUCAUGCUGCAUCCAUGACCUUGGAUAGCCACAUUUGUUGCAUGACUGCUACCUUAUUGAAAUCUAAUGGUAUUCUGUUUCAGUGUGAACUUUGUGAAAUUAAUCAUUGCCUUUAAACUUCUUUGUCUGGUCCUUCAAAUCAGCUACACAGAUGGCAUGACCUUCACUCAAUUACAUAUGACAGCCAUAACCAGCCUGGUAAAGGCUGUCAGAGAGUUCUCUUGGUUGUUUUUCUAUGUUUUCUUGAGACUAUUACACUUCGAUCUAAAGCUUGAGAUAAUGUAAUGCUGAACAUUCAUUUAUAGAUGUCUAUCUUUACCUCUGUGGUUGUCUGCAGCUAAGCACUGGGGUUGUGCUGUUCCAAAUGUAGGUGUGUUGCAAGUAUUCAAAUGUAAUGUGAUCCUGCAUAAGAGCUCAGGCAUUCUCCCUUGAAAGGUACUCCAAUCAAGCUUCUGAGGUCUUGAGAGGCGUUCAAAGGUAGCUGUUACACAUUGAUUCCACCGGCAAAGCUAUGAAAGAUGGUUUUCAUGGUUAAUUUUCAUUUUCAUUCUAGCCUCCAUAUCACUAAUAUUAAUAGAGCUAUGGUUCCUUCCUCAAUGCUACUAAAAAGCUGCUCUGAAAAAAGAUGUUACCAUCUACAGGAAGUACCGUAUAAUGGAGUGCCGCUUUUUGCUGAUCUCUUAAAUGACACUCUGAAUAAAGAUAUAUUUCAGCUCAA